GACUUCUGGGUGAGGAGCAGGAAGGACACGGGUGUGAAGCAAGGAGUGUGCUAAAGAUGCAGCAAAGAGACCUGUGUGGCCAGAGCCAAGAGAAGGAGGGAAAGAGUGAGAGAGAACAUUAGCGAGAGACAAGGCAGACCACCUCAGACCUGGCGGACCGUUGGGAGGCUCUGCUCUUACCCUGAGUGAACUGAACUGGGGAGCUAUGGCAGUGUCCGCAGCACACCAUGGCAUGUCCAACCUAGGUUUCAGAUUAGCCGGGGGCUGUGGCAGGGCAUGGAGUCCUAUGGCGGGAAUCCAGUAAGUGCAGAAGGGCAGGGAGGUUGGCGGCUUAGACCAGGUGGUGGCCGUGGAGAGAGUAAGCUUCCACGUGAGUUGUUGAGACUGGCUUCCUCAGGCUUUGCUGGUGGACUACAUGCAGGGUAUGAGAGGAAGAAAAAUCGGAGCUGGGAAAUUGCAACGAUGGAAAAGAGAAUCUAAAAUAAACCAAGUGCACUCACAAUCUAACGCUGGGUCACACGGGAGGAUGCCGCAGGGAUGGGACGGUGUACCGACGCAGCUCCGGAAAAAUAGAUUCAAUGCCCUAGAGAAAAAUGGAUCAGAGAAACUAAAGAUGUCUGAAGACCUGGGACCUGGCUACUCGGCCCUUCUGAAUGCCAUGGCGUAGUGUCCACUGUCCUGUGCCUAAAACCGUCCUGGAAAUGAGAGAGACACAGCAUGAACGGGGGAGGGGCAGAGAGAGAGGGAAACACAGAAUCGGA
This is a long non-coding RNA of Felis catus (domestic cat), 761 nucleotides long. RefSeq lists it as uncharacterized. The record is from RefSeq and is a predicted model, not a curated record. The transcript is spliced from 3 exons. NCBI's taxonomy places the organism in Eukaryota, Metazoa, Chordata, Mammalia, Carnivora, Felidae.